GUUUGUCCAGGUGGAUUUUAAAACAUUGCAGAACUUUCAUACAAGCAGAAGCAUGAAUAAGGAAGGAAAAGAAAGGGAUAGCUUGAUUAUCAGUGUCUCUAUCAACAUAAGAAUAAUCAGACAACUACAAAGGAGUUAGCAGGAAGGCAAAUUUCUCCACUCUACCCUGCCCCACUGAGACUCAAACCUGGAGGUACCAUCUCUAGUUGCCGUUCUCAUUAUGAUAGUACCCUGUGCUUGUGUAUACUGUCUGCUGCUGAGAAGCUGAGCAGUUGGGGUGGAGGAGCCUGAGCCUGCUCUUAUCUGUUCAUCUACUCACACCUAGAGCCUGAGUCUGCUGGUAUCUACUUAUCUCCUCACACUUCCUGUAGCACCUGUUAAAGGAUCUCCAGGCACCUAAGGAUACCCUCAUACCCUGGUUGAGAAUUACUGUCCUAGAUCCAUUGCAUAUUAUAGGGGUUUUUUAAUAGGUUUAUUUCAAUCCUGUAUUAUCUUCGGCUUUGAUUAAUAUGUAUAGUAUAGUAUAAUAUAGUAUAAUCAGAUAGCAGACACUAUAUAUAUAAUAAUACUAUAUUAUAGUAUAUAGUAUAAUCAGAUCUUUAUGUACAGAGACAAAAUCUAAAGUUUUAUACAACAAAGUAUAUUGAUUCUGCUUUUCUUCUGUUUUGCACUGAUCUUACAUUUGAAGCAAAGAAAAUCUCAGGUCAAAUAUAUAGGCAAAAGGGAUCAUUCAGAUUUUCAUAUUCAGACUGCAGAUUAACCCCUCUAAACUCGCAAACUAGCUUCUGGAAUGCUACUCUGGCCACUACUGUUAAUUUUUAACAAGUCUUGGGAAAAAAGGAGAAACACCAAACAAUUUGAGGACCAAUAACAUAGUUUCAAUAUUGAAAAAAGUAAAAGGAGUGACCAAGAGAAUUAUAGAUCAUUUUGCUUGAUGCUGAUUCUGGUUAAACUAGUAGUGUGGUUCAUUUGAGACUAUCAGCAAUGAUUUAAAGACUAAAAUAUAGUUAAUAUGCUCAGCAUGCUAAUGUAAAGUCAGUAAAGCUGAGGUGCAGCCUGGCUAGAGUGUUGGUUAUAGCCAUGUUGGUCUAAGGAACUAGGCAGACAAGGUUCUUUGGGAAAAAUGGGAUCUCUUUUAUUGAACCAAAUAAUUUUAAAUAUUAAAUAAAAGAUAUCCCAUUUACCCAAAGAGCCUUGUCUGCCUGACUAGAGUGGGCACUUCUCCCAUCCCUGGGACAGUAGGGAAAACAACAGCGGCAGGUAAGGGAGAAAGAGAAGCAGAGGGGAUGGACAGGGCAUGCUUCUCUCCUUUGGGAAACCUUGAAAAGUCCCCAGAGGAUCCCACAUCUCAGUCUGUCAGUACCAGUGUGUUGAGGAGGAGGCGGCUAGGAGCACAGGUGGCUGCUCCUACCUCCUCCCCCUGUUUGUCAAAUCCUGGAUCCACCCCUGCCUUUUUGUAUCACUCAGUUGUAUGAGAUGGUAAUUUAAUUAUUUCAUAACUUUUCACUGUCUUGUGUGAGAUCAGUUGGUGUCUGAAUUAAAUUGACAAGGCCCCCUUACCAAAGAUGAUCCUCUUAUACAACAAAAGCCGUGUUAUCUGGCACUUUAUCAACUGGAAAGCUCCACUAACAAGCAUCUGAGGGAUACGGCAAAAGUGAAACCCUAAGUCCCACUUCUGGUUUCGCUGCCAUGAGCCGUAUUCUUCUUUUUCUUCACUUCACUUCUUCUUCUUCACUUCUUUGGCCCAUGGCCUGGGGGAAAGCAGCUUGUGUGGGGCCCCAGGGGAUGCCAGAUAACAGAGCUUUUGCUGUAGAUAGUUUCAGUGAAGAGACUUAGCAUAAGCAGUUACGGCUAGGGACAGACAUUACACAUAAAUCAGUUUAAGUGAUCAGAAACUGGUUUAAACCUGUAACAGAACAGAUACUCAGUGCACAUAAACCAGUUUGAAAAUGGCUGAAACCAGUUUUAGAUAAACCUGAUUGAAUAUUGUAUCAGACUUAACUGAUUUGGGUCAAACUGGUUUAUGCAAUGUUUGUCCCAGACCAUUUGCUGGUUUAAGAUAAACCAGACUCCCCCAGCAUGCUCUCUGGGCUGGGCAGGGCUCUCUGCUCCACAGCGGCCUAGUGCCUCCCCUCUGCUUCCUGGCUGAAGCUCCUGCUGAGACUUGCAGGCACAAAGUAUCUGUCUGGCUUCUCCCUGAUAAGAAGGGAUUAUUCCCCCCACCCUUCUGCCUUAUGCAAACACCUCAGCAUUAGCUAGCAUACCACAUGCUUACUAUAGUCCGUGCUGUGGGAGACAACAAAGGCAGACAGGCUUUUUGGAGCUAAUCAACAGGUAGCUUAAUGUUCUUCAGUGGAAAAGCUGUUUAAGAAGAGCUUGAAGAGAGGUUUUGUUUUCUUAAUGGGUUGAUAAACACUGAGUUGGGGUGAUAAACAUUCCAUGGUAGGCAGCUCAGGAGUGGGGGGAAUAAUCAGAGCAUCCUGCUGGGGCCUGGCCAUGGACCCCUUACCUCAGCCCUGUGAAAGGGAAGGGAGGGCUGCUGUAGUGCCCCCUGGCUUCUAGCCUGAGCCACUGCAGACAUGUGCCUGAAUUUCUUGAAUAAAAAGGAAAUGCCUGUCCAUCUUCAAUCGGUUCAAGCUUUGCAGGUUAGACUUUGUGAAUGUCUUUCCCUAGCCUAUGUGUCCAAUCUUAAGCAGGCCCUCAGCUGCUGUGGAAGCAUUUCGAACUUUCUCCAGUACAAACUCAGGAUUUGUGAUAUAUUGUUUCCUAAUUAUAGCCAUGUAAGCUGGAGUGUUGUUAUUUAAAAUAGUACCUCUUGUGAUGAAAAUUUAUAUUUUGCAGUUUUAGCAUUUUCCUUUUAUGUUUUGUCUAUAAUGGGAAAUCAAGACCUUGAGUCACCUUGAAUUUAUGCUUCCUAAUGUUUUUGUAAAACAUGGGAAAAUACUCAUAGGAACACUAACAUCCUAAAUCUUUAUUCCUGCCUAAAGUCAGCUGUGGCCCAGUUCAUUAUAAAAGACCCAUAUCAUGGACUGUAUCCAGACAUGUAGGCAUGUGGAGUUUGUGGCACUGCAAACCUCUUUGUGGCACCACAAACUGCAUGCUUGGAAAAUUAAAAUGUGCCUUGCACUGCAAAUUUUCAGUACAAGGGAAAAAUUUGCUACUGGGAUUUCCUGGUAGCAAAUGCUACAAUAGCAUGCUCCAUAACAAAUGGAGGUGUAGUCCUCCAGGGAGAUGUUCUGGCUGCUAACCAGAACAUCUGUACUAUUUCAUUUAUGCCCCAGCUGCUCUAGUACACUGGAAGCUGGGAGGAGCAGGGAAAUGGCAGUUUGCCUGAAGUGGAGCAAUUUGUCCCUCACUAAAGCGCAUGUGCAGGGACAUGUGCUGUGGCACAAGGUGGCACAAAUUUGUGCAGCUACUAUUACUGCCACUACAAGCAUACACCCCUGUACAUCUGGAUGCAACCAUGGGGUCCAAAGGCAGCAGAAAAGAAAUAGUUGAGGAGUAAAGUAUGAAAUGUCGCUGAGAUGUGGUGUAGACUCUUUGGGCUCUUAUACAAUGAGCUUCAAUGAGCUUUAGUUAAAGUGCCCCCACUGCCAUUUUUCUGUGUGGGGAUGCUGAUACACAUGACACUCUGGACGCUUUAAUUAGAGCGACUCUUGGAGUGUCUCUAAUUAAAGUGCCCCCCCCACUCCCAGAGCACAUCUAUAAAAUGCCUUUUGUAUCCACUGCUAUAUGAUAUCUUAAUUCAAAAGUAGGAGUAAAAAACAGGAUUGGUAUUAAUAAUGGCAACUUCCAGCAGGGGCGUUAGAAACAUGAACUCAUUGACUUCAAUACUUUUUUAAACACUCUGAUGAAGUAGUUAGAGACAGAAAUAAAUGUUUAAAGCACUUUGUCUAGGCCACAGAACAAGCAUAUUUCAGAGCUAGAAUUAGGAAUAAGAAGUUUCUGGCUCUCUGCCCUGUAUUCAGAACAAAUUGUUUUCCCUCGCUCCUAUUCUGGACAUAGUUUGUAAACCUCUCCUAAAGAAAAAUGAUAAUAGUGAGAGUAUAUAAGAUGAUUUAUUCAGACAUACAUUUGUUCAUAAAUAUAUGUAUGUAAAAACUAAGAAAUCAACAUGACCCAAAAUGCUUAAUUUUUCAGAAGAAAUCUUAAACACCUUAUCUAAGCAAUAUAGAUGUACUGCAGGUCAGAAACAAAAUUACAUACAUGGUUUUUUUCCCACUGUGAUCAAUUUUAGUGAGAACAAAUGUCCUUUUUAAUUUGAAUUUGUGUGGCAGGAAAGUGCUAGUCUGACACAGCAUUCUGGAUGUAAUUCUAACUGGAGAGAACAGAAUUAGAUACAGAAUCUUGUUAUGGUAACCUUUAACUUUCAAUGAUAAGAGUAAUUUGCAGGACUAAUUUGUAGCUUAUCUAACUAUUCCGUCUUUGAUGAGCAGUUUUGCGCGUUCAUAGCAGUUUCUUUUUUAACUAAUCUGUGAUGCAGAUCUCCACCUUGUGGUUGAUAGUAAAAGUGUACACUCCUUUGAAUUUUAAGCACCCUUUAAUAACACCUAGACCCCUCUACAUUUUAUAGAUAUUGCCCAAUUAGCUGGUUAAUUGUGCAGUUACCUUAAGAUCAACUACAUGUGCAAAGUACUUAUCAUACAAUAAAAAUUUCCAACCAGCUAUAAAGUGAGACCUGAAAAAUGUGUAUGAACUUAAUAGCUGUUAAACUUUAUAGGUGUUGUAAGGGCUUGGUCUUCAGUACAUUGAUGUCUUCCCCAUAUGUCAGAGGGCAAAGGAGGUAUAAUAAUGACCCCUUUAGCCCCUCCCUGAUGUUGUCUUCUAGCCUGCUAUGACUUUGAUGUUUCUGAUUAUUCAGUGUUGGAAGGUAGUUUCCAAGGGAGAACCACCUUGGACUACCUGGUAGACCUAAUUUAUGGGGCUCCUCCUCCUCUGCACCUCAACCUAAUCACACUUUAGUUGCCAGUUCUGGAAAUAAAUGCCAAUAAAAUAGUUUGUAGUUUACCAUUAUACUCCAUAGAUAUCUCUAUGUAUAAAAAUGAAUCAUUUCUCUUUUGUGCUUCCGUGUUAUUGUUUCAGAAUAUAAUUGCUUAAUCUUCAGAGGAUCUGUCAGGACAAGUCCUUUAGGAGAAUGGGACAAGCUCCUUAUUGUUGAAGUCGGAAUUAAACAUUUAAUGAGCACAGGCUGGGAUUACAAACCACCAACCUGGGAAAGAAGGGGAAAAGAUUAUUUUGUACAAAUAAAGAAUAGAUGAGGAGAAUUCCAGUGAGAAAGACCAAAUGGGGGAAGAGACCAUUUUUGAUAAAAGAUAAAACAUUUUUUUAAAAUGGAGAAAUCCAUAGAGAAUUGGGACAGAAAAUUGAUGUAGAAAUGAAAUAUUUUGCCUAACCUUGGCUGAACUACUGAUUAUGAAUACAGGUUAUAAAGAUAGUAGUACCUUUCUGGUUGGUAGAUAGUGAAUAAUUCAUGAACCGAAUAAUUCUAGAAUGUAUUUGAUACAUUUUAGUAUUUGCUUAAUAUUUUAUCUUUUUAUGUUCGUGAUUUCUCUUGAGCUUAUCUAAGGCUAUAGGCAUCUCCAUAGAUUUAAAACAUAUGCCUCUGGGGUUUGGAGUACUGUAUCAUCCCUGGCAUUUUGCAGCCAAACUGGCUGUCUACUGUGAAGGACUUUUGUGAAAGGGUUAUGAAAGUUAUCUGCUGUCUUUUCUUAUGCACAAUGCUUUUUUCUGCUUCUUCCCUUAACACAGUUUUUUGCUUCCUUGUUAUAGAAAAGAAAUAUGAACUGAUUCUCAGUACUGGAUUUAAUAUAAAAGUAUUCAUGGGAAUAAUGUCUGAUUUUGUUUUUAAUCAUGUUCAUGUUUUACUAAGACUGAUGAUAUUUUUUGUAGAAUUCUAGGUACCCACUAGCUAGGUCUUCACAUAUUCCCUGAAAAGAAAGCUUUCUGUCUUUGUCAGUCUUUGUCUUUGGAAAGUCCCAAGGUCCUUGAGUUACACAUGUGUCCAUUUCUAGCUCUCUCUAAAAAAAAUAAACAUGAGCUGCUCCAGGACUUUAACUUAUUUAAAUUAAAUAUCUUUUUGUUUUCAGGCCUAUAAUUUUCUUUGCCAAAUUGGUUCUUUGGGAAUUUAACUUUACUGUAAUUAUUACUCAUAGUAAUUAAAAGUAAACUUAGUCAUUUCUUAAGUAACUUCUUAGUCCAAAUAUUUCUUAGGGAAAAAAAACAACAACUUUACUUCAGCACUUUCCUUCUAUAGUAUAGUAAUUAUAGUAAGAAUGUUAAUGAUUUCUCCUAAAAUUUCACUUAAAACUUCUUUCCUUUUUUUUCCAAACAUGAAAACAGUUUUUGAGAAAAAAAUUUCUUUCCUGACCUUGUGUUCUGGCAAAACUCUGCCUUAGUAGAAUAAGAAUGUCUUCUCUCCAUGAAUUCACUUUUUCACUUCAGUACACAGAAAUUACAUCCCAGUACCUGAAUUUACUGAAUGUUUUGGCGCCCUUGGGAUUAAACAAACUGAAUCUGCUCUGGAAUAAUGUGCUCUUCAUGGAACUAUUGUAUAUUUAAUAGAGAUUCCUUACACCAUCUUUGAAUAAAAGCUUUACAGUCUAAACUAUCUCUGCUGCAGUAU
This is a long non-coding RNA of Alligator mississippiensis (American alligator), 6622 nucleotides long. RefSeq lists it as uncharacterized. NCBI's taxonomy places the organism in Eukaryota, Metazoa, Chordata, Crocodylia, Alligatoridae. The record is from RefSeq and is a predicted model, not a curated record. The transcript is spliced from 4 exons.